This 497-nucleotide ribosomal RNA is filed under the name uncultured bacterium. Its description in RNAcentral is "partial 16S ribosomal RNA". It matches the Rfam family "Bacterial small subunit ribosomal RNA", at positions 28 to 507 of the family's 1533-position model. The record is from RNAcentral.
GAUGAACGCUGGCGGCGUGCCUAAUACAUGCAAGUCGAGCGAACGGACGAGAAGCUUGCUUCUCUGAUGUUAGCGGCGGACGGGUGAGUAACACGUGGAUAACCUACCUAUAAGACUGGGAUAACUUCGGGAAACCGGAGCUAAUACCGGAUAAUAUUUUGAACCGCAUGGUUCAAAAGUGAAAGACGGUCUUGCUGUCACUUAUAGAUGGAUCCGCGCUGCAUUAGCUAGUUGGUAAGGUAACGGCUUACCAAGGCAACGAUGCAUAGCCGACCUGAGAGGGUGAUCGGCCACACUGGAACUGAGACACGGUCCAGACUCCUACGGGAGGGAGCAGUAGGGAAUCUUCCGCAAUGGGCGAAAACCUGACGGAGCAACGCCGCGUGAGGGAUGAAGGUCUUCCGAUCGUAAAACUCUGUUAUUAGGGAAGAACAUAUGUGUAAGUAACUGUGCACAUCUUGACGGUACCUAAUCAGAAAGCCACGGCUAACUACGUG